RNAcentral lists this ribosomal RNA (468 nucleotides) under uncultured bacterium. RNAcentral's name for it is "partial 16S ribosomal RNA". It matches the Rfam family "Bacterial small subunit ribosomal RNA", at positions 28 to 507 of the family's 1533-position model. The record is from RNAcentral.
GACGAACGCUGGCGGCGUGCUUAACACAUGCAAGUCGAACGGAAAGGCCCUGCGUUUGUGGGGUGCUCGAGUGGCGAACGGGUGAGUAACACGUGAGUAACCUGCCCUUGACUUUGGGAUAACUUCAGGAAACUGGGGCUAAUACCGGAUAGGAGCUCCUGCUGCAUGGUGGGGGUUGGAAAGUUUCGGCGGUUGGGGAUGGACUCGCGGCUUAUCAGCUUGUUGGUGGGGUAGUGGCUUACCAAGGCUUUGACGGGUAGCCGGCCUGGGAGGGUGACCGGCCACAUUGGGACUGAGAUACGGCCCAGACUCCUACGGGAGGCAGCAGUGGGGAAUAUUGCACAAUGGGCGGAAGCCUGAUGCAGCAACGCCGCGUGCGGGAUGACGGCCUUCGGGUUGUAAACCGCUUUCGCCUGUGACGAAGCGUGAGUGACGGUAAUGGGUAAAGAAGCACCGGCUAACUACGUG